RNAcentral lists this ribosomal RNA (663 nucleotides) under uncultured bacterium. RNAcentral describes it as "bacterial SSU rRNA". It matches the Rfam family "Bacterial small subunit ribosomal RNA", at positions 232 to 885 of the family's 1533-position model. The record is from RNAcentral.
CGCGGCCUAUCAGCUUGUUGGUGAGGUAACGGCUCACCAAGGCUUCGACGCGUAGCGGGUCUGAGAGGACGAUCCGUCACAUUGGGACUGAGAUACGGCCCAGACUCCUACGGGAGGCAGCAGUGGGGAAUAUUGCGCAAUGGACGAAAGUCUGACGCAGCGACGCCGCGUGUGGGAGGAAGCCUUUCGAGGUGUAAACCACUGUCAGGUGGGAGGAACAUCUAUUGGGUGAAUAUCCCAGUAGACUGACGGUACCCCCAGAGGAAGCGCCGGCUAACUCCGUGCCGGCAGCCGCGGUAAGACGGAGGGCGCAAGCGUUGUUCGGAAUUACUGGGCGUAAAGGGCGGGCAGGCGGUCCGUUUAGUCUUCUGUGAAACUCCGGGGCUCAACUCCGGACAUGCAGGAGAAACUGGCGGACUAGAGACCGGUAGAGGCAAGCGGAAUUCCUGGUGUAGCGGUGGAAUGCGUAGAUAUCAGGAAGAACACCUGUGGCGAAGGCGGCUUGCUGGGCCGGUUCUGACGCUCAUCCGCGAAAGCGUGGGGAGCAAACAGGAUUAGAUACCCUGGUAGUCCACGCCGUAAACGAUGGGCACUAGAUGCCGGGUCUAUAGACGGAUUCGGUGUCGCAGCUAACGCAUUAAGUGCCCCGCCUGGGGAGUACGG